Long non-coding RNA from Mytilus californianus (California mussel), 809 nucleotides. RefSeq lists it as uncharacterized. The transcript is spliced from 2 exons. The record is from RefSeq and is a predicted model, not a curated record. NCBI's taxonomy places the organism in Eukaryota, Metazoa, Mollusca, Bivalvia, Mytilida, Mytilidae.
AUUGAUUUUGAGGGUUAUGGUACCAACACUUAAGGAAUUAAGGGCCAAAAAUAAGCAUUUUUGUAACUUCCAGACAUAACUUGUGUGUUAGUGUAUGGAUCUCUCUGACAUUGUACCACAAGGUUCCGUAUCACAAAGGGAAUGCUGGGAUUGAUUUUGGGGGUAAUUGCCUCCAAAUUUUAGGAAUUAGGUGCCAAAAAGGGGCAAAAAACAAGCAUUUUUCUAGUUUCAUGACAAUAACUUGUGUGUAAGUCUAUGGAUCUCUCUGACAUUGUAUCACAAGGUUCCAUAUCACAAAGGGAAUGCUGGGAUUGAUUUUGGGGGUAAUUGCCCCCAAAUUUUAGGAAUUAGGGGCCAAAAAGGGGCAAAAAAAAAGCAUUUUUCUAGUUUCAUGACAAUAACUUGUGUGGAAGUGUAUGGAUCUUUAUGAAAUUGUACUACAAGGUUCCAUAUCACAAAGGGAAAGCUGGGUUUGAGUUUGGGGGUAAUUGCCCUAAACGUUUAGGAAUUUGGGGCCAAAAAGGGGCAAAAAAACAAGCAUUUUUCUAGUUUCCAGACAAUAACUUGUGUUCAAGUGUAUGGAUCUCUCUGAAAUUGUACUGCAAGGUACCAUACCACAAAGGGAAGGCUGGGAUUGAGUUUGGGGUGAUGAAUCAUAAGGGGGUUCAAAAAAUUUUGGGGGGGAUUUUUUUUUCCUUUUUUUUCUUUAAAAUUUUCCAUUUUAAAUUGGUUAUUUCUGAUUUAUAUAUAAAAGCAAAUAAUAAUGAUAUGGUUUGAAUAGGUAAAUUAAAAUUUUUUAAGUUCUUAAA